This is a long non-coding RNA of Salvelinus fontinalis (brook trout), 824 nucleotides long. RefSeq lists it as uncharacterized. The record is from RefSeq and is a predicted model, not a curated record. The transcript is spliced from 2 exons. Lineage: Eukaryota; Metazoa; Chordata; Actinopteri; Salmoniformes; Salmonidae.
CACACACACACACACACACACACACGUAGCCUCUGGGUCUGUGAUAGAACUGGUUAAUGCAGAAAGACCAAUGAUAUUACUUUCAUAACACAGUUCCUGGUUUCGUCAACCAAUGCCAACCAAUCAAAGUCUCACAGCAAGGUAUAUGUAUGGAUGAAGCCACAGGGGCAGUAUCAUUUAGAAAAAUGGCUGGAUUUGUCAGGGACAUGUAUGAAGGUAUCAUUUAGAAAAAUGGCUGGAUUUGUCAGGGACAUGUAUGAAGGAGUAGAUUUUACUUUAGUAGAUCAAAUGGAGAAGAGAAAGAAAGCAUCAUUCCUGAAAAAACACAGAAUAAUAGAAUUAAGUGAAAAUAGUGAUGUUCUCUUCAAGAUAGUUAGACAAGGCAGCUUGCAUGUACUGAUAUGCAGACCGAGAAACAGUCCUGAAAUGAUAACACGCAUUUACAACAGGCUGUCAAGAACACAUAUGUCUGUACAGCUGACAUCCACAAUGGCAUCGAAAAAGAAGAGAGUGGAGACAUUAACAAUUUGUGGACCGGAAGAAGAAUUAACAUCCUUCUGUGAAGAUUUCCCUAAACUGUUAAUAAGACCUAUGGGAAAAGGAGCUGCCAGACCUGAGGAAUAGGAUCCUGAAAACGAACACGUAGAGAAGACACCAAGAAGAUGUCAUAAUACAACAUGGAUUCUCCUCUCAUCUGAUUUGAAAAAUAAUUCUACUCACUUUUUCUGUGUCAAAGCCAUCUGCCUGUCUUAGAAAAACAAUCCAAAUGUGCACCGCUGUUUCUAAUGAGCAUGUCAUAAUAAAUCAUAUUUGAUUGAGACAAA